AAAUCCGCCGAUCCUUCGUCAUACGGCCGACACGGUAACCAUUUAUUAAGCAAAGCAGCCGAAUAAUUCGUUCAGUUGAUCUGACUACGGAUGUACUAGCAGGUCAAAUAUGAGGCGAAUUGAGGAAAGGUCGGGUUUGUCCCGGCCUUUUUGCUU
This 156-nucleotide small RNA is filed under the name Pararhizobium polonicum. RNAcentral describes it as "Alphaproteobacterial sRNA ar35". It matches the Rfam family "Alphaproteobacterial sRNA ar35". Lineage: Bacteria; Pseudomonadati; Pseudomonadota; Alphaproteobacteria; Hyphomicrobiales; Rhizobiaceae. The record is from Rfam by way of RNAcentral.